This 423-nucleotide ribosomal RNA is filed under the name uncultured bacterium. RNAcentral describes it as "bacterial SSU rRNA". It matches the Rfam family "Bacterial small subunit ribosomal RNA", at positions 355 to 775 of the family's 1533-position model. The record is from RNAcentral.
UGAGGAAUAUUGGGCAAUGCCCGCAAGGGUGACCCAGCAACGCCGCGUGGAGGAUGAAUGUCGUAAGAUUGUAAACUCCUGUUAGAGGGGAAGAAUAGUACCGGUUGGACCGGUAUAUGACUGUACCCUCAGAGAAAGCCCCGGCUAACUUCGUGCCAGCAGCCGCGGUAAUACGAAGGGGGCUAGCGUUGUUCGGAAUUACUGGGCGUAAAGCGCACGUAGGCGGCUUUCCAAGUUGGAGGUGAAAUCCCCGGGCUUAACCCGGGAACUGCCUCCAAAACUGAAAGGCUAGAGUCCGAGAGAGGUGAGUGGAAUUUCCAGUGUAGAGGUGAAAUUCGUAGAUAUUGGAAAGAACACCAGUGGCGAAGGCGGCUCACUGGCUCGGUACUGACGCUGAGGUGCGACAGCGUGGGGAGCAAACAG